AUGGCAUUGAAACACUCAACAAACUGCCCACACAGAACGUGGGGUUAAAACUUACAGAUGUACUGGAGGCUGUGAACAAGUGAUUCAGUGGCCUUCUCUCUGAGCCUCUACUGUGUCACCACCAUGUUCCAUGCUAGGUACAAGGACCGCUACGUCUUUAACAGGCAUUCUCUCUGAGCCUCUUUACUGUGUCACCACCAUGCUCCAUGCUAGGUACAAGGACCUCUACGUCUUUAACAGGCAUUCUCUCUGAGCCUCUUUACUGUGUCACCUCCAUGCUCCAUGCUAGGUACAAGGACCGCUACGUCUUUAACAGGCAUUCUCUCUGAGCCUCUUUACUGUGUCACCACCAUGCUCCAUGCGAGGUACAAGGACCGCUACGUCUUUAACAGGCAUUCUCUCUGAGCCUCUACUGUGUCACCACCAUGUUCCAUGCGAGGUACAAGGACCGCUACGUCUUUAACAGGCAUUCUCUCUGAGCCUCUACUGUGUCACCACCAUGCUCCAUGCUAGGUACAAGGACCGCUACGUCUUUAACAGGCAUUCUCUCUGAGCCUCUACUGUGUCACCACCAUGCUCCAUGCGAGGUACAAGGACCGCUACUUCUUUAACAGGCAUUCUCUCUGAGCCUCUUUACUGUGUCACCACCAUGCUCCAUGCGAGGUACAAGGACCGCUACUUCUUUAACAGGCAUUCUCUCUGAGCCUCUUUACUGUGUCACCACCAUGCUCCAUGCUAGGUACAAGGACCGCUACUUCUUUAACAGGCAUUCUCUCUGAGCCUCUUUACUGUGUCACCACCAUGCUCCAUGCUAGGUACAAGGACCGCUACGUCUUUAACAGGCAUUCUCUCUGAGCCUCUACUGUGUCACCACCAUGCUCCAUGCGAGGUACAAGGACCGCUACUUCUUUAACAGGCAUUCUCUCUGAGCCUCUUUACUGUGUCACCACCAUGCUCCAUGCGAGGUACAAGGACCGCUACGUCUUUAACAGGCAUUCUCUCUGAGCCUCUUUACUGUGUCACCACCAUGCUCCAUGCGAGGUACAAGGACCGCUACGUCUUUAACAGGCAUUCUCUCUGAGCCUCUUUACUGUGUCACCACCAUGCUCCAUGCGAGGUACAAGGACCGCUACGUCUUUAACAGGCAUUCUCUCUGAGCCUCUACUGUGUCACCACCAUGCUCCAUGCGAGGUACAAGGACCGCUACUUCUUUAACAGGCAUUCUCUCUGAGCCUCUUUACUGUGUCACCACCAUGCUCCAUGC
Molecule: long non-coding RNA, 1264 nt
Organism: Oncorhynchus keta (chum salmon)
Lineage: Eukaryota; Metazoa; Chordata; Actinopteri; Salmoniformes; Salmonidae
Exons: 4
Source: RefSeq, a predicted model, not a curated record